GAUGAACGCUGGCUACAGGCUUAACACAUGCAAGUCGAGGGGAAACGCCGGGGAAGCUUGCUUCCCCGGGCGUCGACCGGCGCACGGGUGAGUAACGCGUAUCCAACCUGCCUCUGACUGAAGGAUAACCCGUCGAAAGUCGGCCUAAUACCUCAUGGUAUCGUCUGCGGGCAUCCAACGACGAUUAAAGAUUUCAUCGGUCAGGGAUGGGGAUGCGUCUGAUUAGCUUGUUGGCGGGGUAACGGCCCACCAAGGCUACGAUCAGUAGGGGUUCUGAGAGGAAGGUCCCCCACAUUGGAACUGAGACACGGUCCAAACUCCUACGGGAGGCAGCAGUGAGGAAGAUUGGGCAAUGGGCGAGAGCCUGAACCAGCCAAGUAGCGUGCAGGAAGACGGCCCUAUGGGUUGUAAACUGCUUUUAUGCGGGGAUAAAGUGAGGGACGUGUCCCUCAUUGCAGGUACCGAAUGAAUAAGGACCGGCUAAUUCCGUG
RNAcentral lists this ribosomal RNA (491 nucleotides) under uncultured bacterium. Its description in RNAcentral is "partial 16S ribosomal RNA". It matches the Rfam family "Bacterial small subunit ribosomal RNA", at positions 28 to 507 of the family's 1533-position model. The record is from RNAcentral.